Molecule: ribosomal RNA, 253 nt
Filed under: uncultured bacterium
Lineage: Bacteria
Description: partial 16S ribosomal RNA
Rfam family: Bacterial small subunit ribosomal RNA
Source: RNAcentral
CACGGGGGGAGCAAGCGUUGUUCGGAAUCACUGGGCGUAAAGGGCGUGCAGGCGGUCAGGUAAGUGGGAUGUGAAAUGCCCCGGCUCACCCGGGGACCGGCAUCUCAUACUGCUUGGCUUGAGUACGGGAGAGGAUGUGGGAAUUCCUGGUGUAGCGGUGAAAUGCGUAGAUAUCAGGAGGAACACCGGUGGCGAAGGCGCACAUCUGGCCCGAUACUGACGCUGAGGCGCGAAAGCGUGGGGAGCGAACAGG